UGCUACUUUUACCACUUUUGCUCUUAGUGAUGAGGAGCUGGAUUCCAGCAAGACCAGAUCACUGGAGUUGUGACAGAUGCCAAUGAGAAGCAUCCUGGGGCACGCUAACAGAGACCUUGGAUGCUCUGAGACUCUCACAUGCCAAUCAAAACAAAUUCUUAAUAAACAAAGAAAUCUUCUCUUUGAAAUCUAAAGAGAAUACUGCUGAAGAACAACAGAGCGAGCUGUUUGUGAAUAGCAGAAAAACAACUGUUUGUUCAUCCUUAGUAAUGUGAAGUCAAGCAGCUUUCUGCAUCAUUCCCACUCCAGGACUUGCCUCUGUGAAAGCUAUAGCAGGGCUUCAAAGAACAAUUGCUUCAGUUUUCACUCCUUCUAAGGCCUGGGGACGUUCCACUUCUGAUCACAGUACAGCUUUAUAAAUCUUGAGUAACAGAGACAGUAGGCUGAGAGCAAGAAUAGGUUUAGUUUUCCUUUGGAAAAUUUGGUUUUGCUGUGAAGGCUCAACUUUUGAAACACAAAAGCAAAAGUGGUGAUUUAGGUUUCCAGAUAGUGUGAGAGUACCCACAGUGUCUUCAAAAACUAUUGAUAAAUGACGAACCCUUCCCACUGGGCAUGAAGGAGCUAGAGGAAUGAU
Anas platyrhynchos (mallard) is the source of this 634-nucleotide long non-coding RNA. RefSeq lists it as uncharacterized. The record is from RefSeq and is a predicted model, not a curated record. Lineage: Eukaryota; Metazoa; Chordata; Aves; Anseriformes; Anatidae.